Molecule: RNA transcript, 5228 nt
Organism: Oreochromis aureus
Lineage: Eukaryota; Metazoa; Chordata; Actinopteri; Cichliformes; Cichlidae
Gene: ect2
Gene name: epithelial cell transforming 2
Exons: 27
Source: RefSeq, a predicted model, not a curated record
UUUUGAAUUGAGCUGGAGCAGCAUACUGACACCGUCUCUGCACUAGUGUCGAGUAGUUAGCUGUCAACAAACUAAAGUAGUCAUUUUGGACUAUUGUCAUUUAUAAAAACCAACAUGCAUUGAUACUAGGCCUGUGAUUUUACGGAGCGAUGUUACAGCUGUUUUAAAGAGCGUUUUGAACCGAAGAGGAAUUGUGACGAGUUCUUAACUGUGUUGUUGACUUACUAGCUUGGUGGCUAGCUAGGUCUGCUAGAAGGCUUGUUAAAUAUUACUGGUCCAGCGGCCAGUUGAGAUUCAUUAGCUAGUAUUUAUUUAUUUUUUUUUUAGAAGGCAUCAAAACAGUCGGUUCCUGCCAUGGCUGACAGCAGCAUAUUGACUUUAGGGACAGCUCGGAGUCUGUUGGUGGAUUCUUCGGUCUAUGAUUCUAGGAUUGCUGAAACCACCAAGGAUCAUGUAUUUCUGGGCAUGGCAUGUGAAGAUGGGGAAGAUGUGCUGCCAAAAGUGGAGACACGGGUUGUUCUGGUGGGAGAAGCAAGCAGAAAUAGAGAGCUGGCCAAAGCACUGCAGGCCAUCAGAGUAAUGGAGGUACCUGUGGUAAAGAUAAGAAAAGGCGAGGCGGGUGCCGAGGAGAAAAUGAUGAUAAAAUCUAUAGUCAAUAUGGACAUCAACACCCCAUUCAUAAUGACAGAUAGCGUCCAGGAGUUUGGGGAUGGAGAGAACACUGAGUUUGAGACGGUGUUUGUUCUCACAGACUUUGAUUCUCCUGAAUACAACUACCUCUACAAACAUGAACACCGCAUUGUUGGGCCUCCUGUUGUGCUGCACUGUGCUGCAAAGGAUGAACCUCUCCAGUUUUCAUGUCGACCUCUCUACUCCACCACCAUGUUAAACCUGUCACUGUGUUUCACUGGAUUCAGGAACAAAGAGGAAAUGAAAAACUUGGUGAAUCUGGUUCAUCACAUGGGUGGGACAAUACGGAAAGACUUCAGCACAAAGGUCACUCAUCUUGUUGCAUACUCCACUCAUGGAGAGAAAUACAGGCUGGCAGUGUGCAUGGGGACACCCAUCCUUACUCCAUCAUGGAUUCUUAAGGCCUGGGAAAGAAGAGAUGAUGUAAAUUUCCAUGCAGGUGACGAGGAAUUUCGAACUGAGUUCAAAGUGCCCCCUUUCCAGGACUGCGUUCUCAGUUUUUUGGGGUUUUCUGAGGAAGAAAAGGCCAACAUGGAAGAGAGGACUCUUAAACACGGCGGCAUGUACCUUGAGGUUGGAAAUGAAAGGUGUACGCACAUGGUUGUGGAGGAAAACCUGGUAAAGGAGCUACCAUUUUCUCCCUCCAAGAACCUCUUUGUGGUCAAACAAGAGUGGUUCUGGGGAAGUAUUCAGAUGGAUGCUCGAGCUGGAGAAUCCAUGUACCUCUAUGAGAAGAAUGACAGCCCAGCUAUGAAGAGAGCAGUGUCCCUCCUUUCCCUCACCACCCCAAACAGUAACCGUAAACGUCGACGUCUGAAGGACACAUUGGCUCAGCUCACCAAGGAAACAGAGAUCUCUCCCUUCCCUCCGCGCAAAAGACCAUCAGCAGAGCACUCGUUGUCUAUUGGUUCACUGCUGGACAUCUCUAAUACUCCAGAGACAUGCAAGGCUUUGGCAGAAGACAGAGUAGGAGACAGUUUUGUGACCAAGACUAGGAUAGGAAGAAGGAAAACCAGGGAAAGGAGUAGGACAGACAGGGAGGAGAGGAGAAAAAGGUCCCACCUGACUACAAAUGCUUGUCAACAACCAGAAGAAGAGCAGCACCAGGGAACUUAUGGAGAGGGUUCCAAGCCUUCUAAGAGUUCAACUCCGGUUCUUUCCAAGCAGUCAGCCAGGUGGCAGGUCUCCAAGGAGCUCUACCAAACUGAAAGCAACUAUGUAGACAUUUUAAGCACCAUCCUACAGCUUUUCAAGCAUCCAUUGGAAAAGGAGGGACAGGUGGGUGGACCUAUCCUGGCUCAAGAGGAGAUUAAGACAAUAUUUGGCAGCAUCCCAGACAUCUAUGAAGUUCAUACCAGAAUAAAGAAUGAUCUUGAGGAGCUCCUCACAGACUGGUCAGAAAACAGAAGCGUUGGAAACAUCAUUCUGAAAUACUCUAAAGAGCUGGUGAAGGCCUAUCCCCCCUUUGUCAACUUUUUUGAAAUGAGCAAAGAGACCAUUGUUCGGUGUGAGAAACAAAAACCACGCUUUCAUGCAUUCCUCAAGAUCAACCAGGCCAAGCCAGAAUGUGGCAGGCAGACACUGGUGGAGCUGCUCAUCAGACCAGUACAGAGACUGCCUAGCGUGGCCCUUCUUCUUAACGACAUAAAGAAACAUACAUCGGAUGACAACCCAGACAAGAUAACACUGGAGAAAGCAAUUGAGUCUCUGAAAGAAGUCAUGACCCACAUUAAUGAGGACAAAAGGAAAACUGAAGGCCAGAAGCAAAUCUUUGAUGUUGUUUAUGAAGUUGAUGGUUGUCCUGCCAACCUGCUGUCCUCCCAUCGUAGCCUCGUUUACCGAGUAGAAACCAUUGCUCUGGGAGAUCAGCCAUGUGACCGUGGUGAAAAUGUCACACUGUUCCUCUUCAAUGACUGUCUUGAGAUUGCAAGGAAGCGACACAAGGUGAUCAAUACAUUCAAGAGUCCGCUGGGACAGACGAGACCACCGCCCCCACUGAAACACAUAGCAUUAAUGCCGCUAUCUCAGAUUCGACGAGUGCUGGACUUGCAAGACACAGAAGAGUGUGUGAAUGCAUUCGCCUUGGUGGUUCGCCCUCCGACUGAACAGGAGAACUUGUUGUUCAGCUUCCAACUGGCUGGAGAGGAAACGGUUAAAAGCGCCUGGCUGCGGACACUUUGCCGCCAUGUAGCCAACACCAUCUGCAGGGCUGAUGCGGAAGACCUUAUUCAGUGUACAGACCCAGACUCACUGCAAGUCAGCACCAAGGAUAUGGACAGCACCUUGAGCAAAGCCUCCAGGGCCAUCAAGAAAACCUCUAAAAAGGUGACAAGAGCGUUUUCUUUCACCAAGACCCCAAAGCGUGUGAUCCAGAGGGCAUUCAUGGCCAACAGUCCUUCAGAUGAGAAAAGCCAGAGGCUGAGCUGUGAAAACCGCGUCGGCAGCAGCACCACUUUGGCUAUGCCUCGCGCUGCCUCAACAUUCAGUUUGAAUGAUUCUACCAAAAGCAGUGCCGUGGUGCAGCGCUCUAACUCUCUGGACCACCCUCCAAUCAGAUUCAAGAUCCCUGAUCGUAUGCGAACCCCCUGCACUCCCCCCAAAAAUCCUGCCCCCAAAAUUGCUUCUGAGUUGAGCCAAGACCCCUAGCUUAAUGCUUGCUCUGUCACCAGAGAAUCUAAGCCCAUUUUUAAUGAUUCUUUACUUAAUCAACCAGCACUAACAUUCCAGCCUCCCUGUUUCCUGGGAGUCGUCCUGUUUAAAUCCUCCCACCUCUACUUCUACUCCAGCUGUCCAAAACUCCACACAGCUCAACUCUAAACAUUCCCAACUCAAAUCUUGACAACAUUUGUCCAGACCGCUGCCCUCUGUAGGAUUCCAACCAAGCUCCCCAGGUCCUCAACCUUUUAAUGCCAAAAGUAGGGUCUUUCCUGAGUCAUGCAGAGAUCCUCAAGUUCCCAUGGACCCACAGAAGGCUGUCGUGACCAGUCCUCGCUAAGAGACCCUGCUUUAAAUGAUCACUGAGCUUUGUCCUGGAGUUUGAUGCACACCACUCGCCCUCCAUGGUCCAUCUGCCUACCAUGUUUGAGAGGAAGUAUCACACAUUCAGUCGUUCAACCACCCACCUCUUCUGAAAUGCUUCCGUUUGAAGGCACCAGCAGGAGUCACUACUAGCGUUUUCCACCUCGUUUGCCUUGACUGACACUGACAGCAAGAUUUGACCACAUAGGUCGAUUUGCAUAAAGUUAAAGCUACCUGUAAAGUACGACAAACUUUAUUUGUCAAAACUGGUGCUUCAGGCUUACACAGAUAUAGCCUAUCCAGAAGAAAUGGCUUUAAGCCAUCAUAAUGCACUGAAUGUAGGGACAUACUGAUAUUUGCCAGUAUCAGAACUGUCCUGCAGCUGUCUGUGGCUUCCUAUCUGAAAUACGGGCAGCAGUGGGGGCAAGCUGGUCAUAAUUUUUAUGCUUUAUCCAGCUAAUAUUAGUCAUUUUGCUGCGAACUUCCAGGAAGCCAGAAUACCAUUCUUAACUUGGCAAGAUUGUGAGUUUGGAAAAAGAAAACAAUACUACACUAUGUUUGAAUUAAGACUGCAUCACUAGGGCCUAACUGGAACGGUACUGUGCCAUGUUUGUGUUUGACAGCCACUGCUUUGGUCAAGUUUGACUUAAUUUUUAAAAAAUGAAGGACAAAUUUUUAGUUUUUCUUGACAUUUUCUGUUUGUGUUUGUGUUUGUGUACUAGUUACAUUUUCAGUGUUUCUGUUUCCCUAUUCAGCUUCCUGAUUUCUAAGCAACUGCUCAGUGCCAUUCGUGGUUAUAAGCAUAGACCAAGUUUCAUCAUGUUUGUAUACAUGUGGUUUAAAUGGGAAUUUAAUCCCAUCCAGUUUGUUGCUAAAUGCUAUGGUAAAGUAAAUUAACAUUUAAUUUUGAAGUUAGGUUUUUUUAUUUAACAGGGGAAAAUAGUUAAUCUCUUGGGUCGACUUUUUUCGCCCUUCAAUGUUAUGUUUUGUUUUUUUUGUUUUGUUUGUUUUUUUAAUUAACUCACUUUAACUGACAUUUGUCAUUGUUUUAUUGUAGUGUUGUAGGUUUUCUUUCUUCGCAUGUAAUAAUAUUCUAAUUAACUCACCUUGUUAAUGUCAACUUAAGCUUCCAGCUUUUAUAAAGCUUCUAUUUUAACAUUUAAGUGAUUCAGUUCUACAGAGCACAACCAUAUGUUUCUCUUCCCAGUACACUUGUACCUGUUUUAAAAGCCUUUUUACACAACAUCUGUAUCUGUGCGUAUAUUCAAGAAGUGAUGCUGCCUUGGUGUACAUAUUUAUUCUUAGUACCUUUUUUGUUUUGUGUUUUCCCUGAAUUACAUUAUUUAUGUUUGUUCUCUCGUAUCUUUAAGGCUCUUCUCACCGAGCCUAAUUGUUUCUAGUUCUUUUAUCUCAACAUUAAAUGCACUUAAAAUGUAUGUUUUCAUUUCAUGAAAAUGUAGGGGUUGAUGGUUAAAUAUGUUAAGUCAUUUGUGUUAAAAUAAAUUCAUUUAUUUACUAUA